UACGUAGGGUGCAAGCGUUUAAUCGGAAUUACUGGGCGUAAAGCGUGCGCAGGCGGUUUUGUAAGUCUGUCGUGAAAUCCCCGGGCUCAACCUGGGAAUUGCGAUGGAGACUGCAAGGCUAGAAUCUGGCAGAGGGGGGUAGAAUUCCACGUGUAGCAGUGAAAUGCGUAGAGAUGUGGAGGAACACCGAUGGCGAAGGCAGCCCCCUGGGUCAAGAUUGACGCUCAUGCACGAAAGCGUGGGGAGCAAACAGG
This 254-nucleotide ribosomal RNA is filed under the name uncultured bacterium. Its description in RNAcentral is "partial 16S ribosomal RNA". It matches the Rfam family "Bacterial small subunit ribosomal RNA", at positions 524 to 776 of the family's 1533-position model. The record is from RNAcentral.